RNAcentral lists this ribosomal RNA (424 nucleotides) under Fusobacteriota bacterium. Its description in RNAcentral is "Fusobacteria bacterium partial 16S ribosomal RNA". It matches the Rfam family "Bacterial small subunit ribosomal RNA", at positions 355 to 776 of the family's 1533-position model. The record is from RNAcentral. Lineage: Bacteria; Fusobacteriati; Fusobacteriota.
UGAGGAAUAUUGGUCAAUGGUCGAGAGACUGAACCAGCCAAGUCGCGUGAAGGAUGACUGCCCUAUGGGUUGUAAACUUCUUUUACAAGGGAAUAAAAUGUGAUACGUGUAUUUUAUUGCAUGUACCUUGUGAAUAAGCAUCGGCUAACUCCGUGCCAGCAGCCGCGGUAAUACGGAGGAUGCGAGCGUUAUCCGGAUUUAUUGGGUUUAAAGGGUGCGUAGGUGGGCUGUUAAGUCAGCGGUGAAAGUUUGUCGCUUAACGAUAAAAUUGCCGUUGAAACUGGUAGUCUUGAGUAUAGAUGAAGUAGGCGGAAUGCGUGGUGUAGCGGUGAAAUGCAUAGAGAUCACGCAGAACUCCGAUUGCGAAGGCAGCUUACUAAGGUAUAACUGACACUGAAGCACGAAAGCGUGGGUAUCAAACAGG